AGAGGGUGCGAACGUUGUUCGGGAAUUACUGGGGCAUAAAGCGCACGUAGGCGGUUCUGUAAGUGUGAAGUGAAAGCCCACGGGCUCAACCGUGGAAUUGCUUUGCAUACUGCAGGACUAGAGGACGGUAGGGGAGAGCGGAACUCCUGGUGGAGCGGUGAAAUGCGUAGAUAUCAGGAGGAACACCGGUGGCGAAGGCGGCUCUCUGGUCCGUUUCUGACGCUGAGGUGCGAAAGCCAGGGGAGCGAACGGGAUUAGAUACCCCGGUAGUCCUGGCCGUAAACGAUGGGCACUAACUAAAGGGCUUAUCCUGUGAGCUCUCUGGUGAAGCAAAUGUGCUAAGUGCCCCGCCUGGGGAGUAUGGUCGCAAGGCUA
Molecule: ribosomal RNA, 375 nt
Filed under: uncultured organism
Description: partial 16S ribosomal RNA
Rfam family: Bacterial small subunit ribosomal RNA
Source: RNAcentral